Long non-coding RNA from Oreochromis niloticus (Nile tilapia), 392 nucleotides. RefSeq lists it as uncharacterized. The record is from RefSeq and is a predicted model, not a curated record. The transcript has 3 exons. Lineage: Eukaryota; Metazoa; Chordata; Actinopteri; Cichliformes; Cichlidae.
CAGGAUCGACAGGCAGGCAGACUAACAAUUCCAAGGAACUGAACUACUGGGAACCAGUUCUCUACAAGAACCACUUCUCGAUUCCAAUCCCUAUCUACAACCAUUUUAUGAUCAUAACAGCAGACAAUCACUGGUGUAUUUGCGAACCAUGCUGUUGUUUUGCUUCAUGAGUGGAGUGGAACAAUGCGUCUGUGCAUGAUAAGAUGAAGAAAACAUGAUGAGCAUGAACUACAGGAUUAAGUAUCAGGAUAAUUUACAUCAUGGAGCCCUGCUCUCAAAGGCUGAUAUAGUUUUAACACUGUGUGUGAAGCUGAAUGUAAGAAAUAAGUGGACUGGUGCCAGCUGAACUACCUCCAGAUCAAUGCCAGUAAAACCAAGGAGCUGGUGGUAGA